UGUUUUGAGAUAAACAUCAUAUUUCCUUAUAAAAAGAUAAAAAAAAUAUGUUAUUUUUCUAAUGUGAGUUGUAAUUAACGAAGAACGUAUAUGAUGAUCUUCUAUGUACUUUUGUUUUAACGCUAGUAGGGUAGGGGUAUGCGGAAUUUCUGAUAGAGCGGUGACAUUUGUAGAGAUCAAAAACAACACCAACGUCGAAAGCACUUUGUUGGGCCGACACUAACACUAAGAGACAACAGCUAGGGUAAUGAAUGGGAUUAGAUACCCCAAUAGUCCUAGCCGUAAACAAUGGAUACUAGGCAUUGUGCGUAUCGACCGUGCAAUGUUGUAGCGAAUGCGUUAAUUAUUGAAACUCAAAGGUAUUGACAUGGAGUACGUUUUCAAGAAUGAAACUCAAAGGUAUUAACGGGGGCUCGCACAAGCGGUGGAGAAGGUGGUUAAAUUUGAUGGAAAGUAAAGAAUAUUACCAGGGCUUGACAUGCUACGAAUCUUCUUGAAAGAGAGGGUUGCCAUUGGGAACACGGACACAUGUGGUGCAUGACUAUCGUCAGCUCAUGAGAUAAGGUGUUGGGUUAUCUCCCACAACAAGUGCAACCCUCGUGUUUCGUUGCCAACAUUCAGUUUGGAACCUUGAGUAGAAUGCUGGUGGUAAGCCGGAGGAAGGUGAGGAUGACGUCAAGUCAUCAUGUCCUAUAUGCCCUAGGCGACACACAUGCUAUAAUGGUCGGGACAAAGGAUUGUGAUCCCACGAGGGUGAGCUAAAUCCAAAAACCCGUCCACAGUUCGGAUUAUAGGUUGCGACUAGCCUGCAUGAAGGCAAAAUCGCUAGUAAUCAUCGGUGAGCCAUACGACAAUGAAUUCGUUCUUGGGCCUUGUAGUCACUGCCCAUCACACUAUGGGAGCUGGUCAUUCCGGAAGUUGUUACCUUAAUCGCAAGGAGGGGGAUGUCGAAGGUAGGGAUCGUGACUAGAGUGAAGUCGUAACAAGGUAGCCAUACUGGAAGGUGCGGCUAGAUCACCUCCUUU
Lupinus angustifolius (narrow-leaved blue lupine) is the source of this 1025-nucleotide ribosomal RNA. It matches the Rfam family "Bacterial small subunit ribosomal RNA". The record is from Rfam. Lineage: Eukaryota; Viridiplantae; Streptophyta; Magnoliopsida; Fabales; Fabaceae.